Gossypium arboreum is the source of this 548-nucleotide long non-coding RNA. RefSeq lists it as uncharacterized. Lineage: Eukaryota; Viridiplantae; Streptophyta; Magnoliopsida; Malvales; Malvaceae. The record is from RefSeq and is a predicted model, not a curated record. The transcript has 2 exons.
UUAUUCUUCCUAGUCUUAACUAGAUUUUUUUUGGGUGCAAAAUAGGUCCUGCCAUGAUAAAUCAGUGAAAGGUAAUAUUGAUGCUGCUAUUCAAGCUCAAGAUCAACCGGAUGUUUGGACGGUGCACGAAAUGUGGAGUAGGCAAGUGACAUUUUUCGACAUAAUGAAAAAAUUGUCACCUGAUGCUAUAAAGGUCUGCAUAUCCCUCAUCCUUUUAUUCUUGCGGAGAAUGAUUUCGAUUUAUCCAAUUUAUUUCAGGUACACGAUUUCUCCACUGCAAUUUAAUUUCAGAAGACUAGGGUUACUUGGUUGAGUCUGCCCCAAGAAUUUAAGACAGGUUCUAUCCUUAAUCAACAUCUGAUAGUGGCUCCAACAAUAAUUGAAAGAAUUAUAUCCAUUUAUGGAAAACAUGACUGUACAGGUUACAUUUCUAUUCAAAUUUACAUUCUAUCAAGAGAAAGAAUACUACUAUUUACAUCAAACUCCUAUGGAACAUAAGAUCAUUUUGUUCGAUUGCCAGUAUUUGUUAAUAUAAUUUUUUUUCUAUA